GACGAACCGUGCGAACGUUAUUCGGAAUCACUGGGCUUAAAGGGCGCGUAGGCGGGCUCGUAAGUCAGGGGUGAAAUCCCACGGCCCAACCGUGGAAGUGCCUCUGAUACUGCGGGCCUCGAGGGGGAUAGGGGCGUGCGGAACUCAGGGUGGAGCGGUGAAAUGCGUAGAUAUCUGGAGGAACACCGGUGGCGAAGGCGACAUCCUGGACCGGUAUUGACGCUGAGGCGCGAAAGCCAGGGGAGCAAACGGG
Molecule: ribosomal RNA, 253 nt
Filed under: uncultured bacterium
Lineage: Bacteria
Description: partial 16S ribosomal RNA
Rfam family: Bacterial small subunit ribosomal RNA
Source: RNAcentral